AUGAGGGAUGCUCAACAGGGGAAGAUCAAGUUCAACAGAGAGAACGACGCGCUGACAAAAGCCCUCGGGAAUCCUGAACACGGAGGACGUGUACGAGGCAUGGGGCACAUUCCGUGGAAAAUAGGGUUCCCCCAGAACGAUGACCCGUACGGUUACAGAAGCCGUAAGAGAAAGAUGGAUCGGGAAGAAGAUGUUGUGGCGCGGUUGGCAUCGGAAAUGGAUGUGAUGAAGAAAACCAUGAGUGUACUAGUAGCCGAAAGAGAUGCAGCUCGGGUGCAGCAUGAAGAUCAUCCAGCGGAUCUCGGAAGCCAGCAGCGGAGAAGCAGCGUGGCUUCCACGGAGGCCCCACCGGCUGGUGCAGAUGCACCGACGAUCGAAAUUACUGCACCGGAGCCUCUGGUGGUCCAAAUUACUGCACCGGAGCCUCUGGUGGUCGAAAUUACUUCACCGGAGCAUCCUCGCUACCCCGUGGACGAUAUAAAGGAGAUGAAAGAAUGUCAUCUGUAUUAUCCUAUCGGGAACAUGUCCAUGAAGGUAGCCAUCGGCAGUGCUUUACCAUGUUUACCUGGAGCACUCCACCACAACAACCCCAUUCAAGAUGGCUAUGCUCGUGUCACGGUGGAGGACAUAGUCCAAGGGUUUGAGGACCUGGAGAUUGACAUUGCUACACCUGAAGGAGAGAAAAGACUUGGAGAUGUCAAGCGCCAUUUCAUUCUAUGGCAAAAGAAGUUUAUCAAGUUUCCAGGCGAGGCGCCAAGGACAACAAGUCCACCCCCCUACGGUGGUGGUGGUGGCGGUGGCGGUGGUGGUGGUGGUGGUGGUGGUGGUGGUGGUGGCGGUUCACCUACACCUCCGUCACGUCAGCCGACGCCGCCCCCCAGUCCACAACGUCCGGCGGGUGAUCAGCCGCCGCCCCCCAGUCCUCGUCCGGCGGGUGAUCAGACGCCGCCCCCCAAUCCACCUCCGGCAAAGAAGCAGAAGCAGUCCUGGAUUAUUAACCCGGACCCUUAUGUACCUAAGACCACAAAGGUACCGGAGCCAUCACUGAAGCCUCUCCCCACAAGGCCUUGGGAACGUAGUGCCGAGGAAGUCGACGCGGUCGCGGCUGCUGAUUUGGAGAAAUGGAAGGCGGACUGCAAGAAGAAAAGAGAGCCCGAGCCCAAGCCAGUAUUUUCUGAUGAGCAAAAGAAGUGGGCUAAGUCAUUUUUGAGCACACCGUCCCAAGCCGCGAAGAAUCUGCCUAACGACUAUGCACGUGAACUUCGCAGGCAGGCACUCAUGUUCAAGGAGAACAAAGAGCGGGAGAAGGCCGAAAGUAAAAAAAGCGGGAAACAAGUUGCCCAGCUCGGGGAACAAAGUAAACAAUCGAUUGCCCCGCUUAUAGUGGAAGCCUUCUGUCCGGAUGCCCCCGAGAUCAUACAAGCUGCGGCAGCACAGGGAUUGACUGUAACGAGUGCCAGAGAACAAGCGGCCAACUUAGGUAUUACUCUUCGUGAACUGUUAGGCCUUGAUGAGGCGCCAGUGAAGGAGGUAGUAAUUACAUAUGUCAAGAAUGGGCCUCUCGUCGAGCCUGCGCAGGAAAAGGAUCUACCUCCACAAAUGAAAGGUCUGCUGAAAUGGUACAAGGGUUACAUAAAAAAUAAAAGCGCCAAAGAAUAUAUUUAUGCGGAAGUUAGACAUGAGCAUCACUUCAAACAUUACUAUGUACAAAUUGAACUGAGUGAAUUGUUCCAGCUUUUCAAUCUGCGCGAGCUCGAUAAAUCUAUCAUCAGUUGCUAUGUUCUAAUGAAGAUUAAGGAAUGCAGAGUAAGGAACAUCCAUGAUGUUGGGUUCAUUGACCCACACAUCGUUAAUGGACAUGUGUUGGAGCGUCACCCCGCCGACGUGGAGGCAGACCUGUGGCACUUUCUUACAAAGCAGGAACUCAAAAGUGAUAUUCUAUUUCCUUACCAUUUUGAGUUCCACUAG
This 1968-nucleotide ribosomal RNA is filed under the name Triticum aestivum (bread wheat). RNAcentral describes it as "partial small subunit ribosomal RNA". Lineage: Eukaryota; Viridiplantae; Streptophyta; Magnoliopsida; Poales; Poaceae. The record is from RNAcentral.